GAUGAACGCUGGCGGCGUGCCUAAUACAUGCAAGUCGAGCGAACAGAUGAGGAGCUUGCUCCUCUGACGUUAGCGGCGGACGAGUGAGUAACACGUGGAUAACCUACCUAUAAGACUGGGAUAACUUCGGGAAACCGGAGCUAAUACCGGAUAAUAUAUUGAACCGCAUGGUUCAAUAGUGAAAGACGGUUUUGCUGUCACUUAUAGAUGGAUCCGCGCCGCAUUAGCUAGUUGGUAAGGUAACGGCUUACCAAGGCAACGAUGCGUAGCCGACCUGAGAGGGUGAUCGGCCACACUGGAACUGAGACACGGUCCAGACUCCUACGGGAGGCAGCAGUAGGGAAUCUUCCGCAAUGGGCGAAAGCGUGACGGAGCAACGCCGCGUGAGUGAUGAAGGUCUUCGGAUCGUAAAACUCUGUUAUUAGGGAAGAACAAAUGUGUAAGUAACUAUGCACGUCUUGACGGUACCUAAUCAGAAAGCCACGGCUAACUACGUG
RNAcentral lists this ribosomal RNA (497 nucleotides) under uncultured bacterium. Its description in RNAcentral is "partial 16S ribosomal RNA". It matches the Rfam family "Bacterial small subunit ribosomal RNA", at positions 28 to 507 of the family's 1533-position model. The record is from RNAcentral.